Molecule: ribosomal RNA, 350 nt
Filed under: uncultured Sphingobacteriales bacterium
Lineage: Bacteria; Pseudomonadati; Bacteroidota; Sphingobacteriia; Sphingobacteriales
Description: bacterial SSU rRNA
Rfam family: Bacterial small subunit ribosomal RNA
Source: RNAcentral
ACGAGGUGCUGCAUGGUUGUCGUCAGCUCGUGCCGUGAGGUGUCGGGUUAAGUCCCAUAACGAGCGCAACCCCUACCUUUAGUUGCCAUCAGGUAAUGCUGGGGACUCUAAAGGAACUGCCUACGCAAGUAGUGAGGAAGGCGGGGAUGACGUCAAAUCAGCACGGCCCUUACGUCCAGGGCUACACACGUGCUACAAUGGCCGGUACAAAGGGCAGCUACCUGGUGACAGGAUGCUAAUCUCAAAAGCCGGUCUCAGUUCGGAUCGGAGUCUGCAACCCGACUCCGUGAAGUUGGAUUCGCUAGUAAUCGCGCAUCAGCCAUGGCGCGGUGAAUACGUUCCCGGGCCUU